GGCGGAUUCGUCUAAUCGGUCAGGACAAGAGGCUUUCAAUCUCUAAAUAGCGGGUUCGAUCCCCCUAUCCGUCACCA
RNAcentral lists this transfer RNA (77 nucleotides) under Ruminococcus flavefaciens. Its description in RNAcentral is "tRNA_Glu_TTC". It matches the Rfam family "tRNA". Rfam says of the family: Transfer RNA (tRNA) molecules are approximately 80 nucleotides in length. RNAcentral also lists the same sequence under 1 other name. Lineage: Bacteria; Bacillati; Bacillota; Clostridia; Eubacteriales; Oscillospiraceae. The record is from RNAcentral.